This 433-nucleotide ribosomal RNA is filed under the name uncultured bacterium. RNAcentral's name for it is "partial 16S ribosomal RNA". It matches the Rfam family "Bacterial small subunit ribosomal RNA", at positions 29 to 507 of the family's 1533-position model. The record is from RNAcentral.
AGCGAACGCUGGCGGCAGGCCUAACACAUGCAAGUCGAACGAACUCUUCGGAGUUAGUGGCGGACGGGUGAGUAACACGUGGGAACGUGCCUUUAGGUUCGGAAUAACUCAGGGAAACUUGUGCUAAUACCGAAUGUGCCCUUCGGGGGAAAGAUUUAUCGCCUUUAGAGCGGCCCGCGUCUGAUUAGCUAGUUGGUGAGGUAAAGGCUCACCAAGGCGACGAUCAGUAGCUGGUCUGAGAGGAUGAUCAGCCACAUUGGGACUGAGACACGGCCCAAACUCCUACGGGAGGCAGCAGUGGGGAAUCUUGCGCAAUGGGGGAAAGCCUGACGCAGCCAUGCCGCGUGAAUGAUGAAGGUCUUAGGAUUGUAAAAUUCUUUCACCGGGGACGAUAAUGACGGUACCCGGAGAAGAAGCCCCGGCUAACUUCGUG